GCCUUUUAAGUAUAGAUUCGUACGGCUGUUUUCCAAUCAGUAGGGUUAGCAUUAUUUCUGCUAAAAAAGGUA
This 72-nucleotide transfer RNA is filed under the name Nacella magellanica. RNAcentral's name for it is "tRNA-Gly". Lineage: Eukaryota; Metazoa; Mollusca; Gastropoda; Nacellidae. RNAcentral also lists the same sequence under 2 other names. The record is from RNAcentral.